Camelus ferus (Wild Bactrian camel) is the source of this 72-nucleotide transfer RNA. It matches the Rfam family "tRNA". From Rfam's summary of the family: Transfer RNA (tRNA) molecules are approximately 80 nucleotides in length. Lineage: Eukaryota; Metazoa; Chordata; Mammalia; Artiodactyla; Camelidae. The record is from Rfam.
GAGGGUAUCACUCAGUGGUAGAGUGCAUGCCUAGCAUGCAUGAGGUCCUGGGUUCAACUCCCAGUACCUCUG